RNAcentral lists this ribosomal RNA (622 nucleotides) under Apis mellifera (honey bee). RNAcentral's name for it is "SSU rRNA". It matches the Rfam family "Eukaryotic small subunit ribosomal RNA", at positions 24 to 614 of the family's 1831-position model. Lineage: Eukaryota; Metazoa; Arthropoda; Insecta; Hymenoptera; Apidae. The record is from RNAcentral.
UCAUAUGCUUGUCUCAAAGAUUAAGCCAUGCAUGUCUCAGUACAUGCCGAAUUAAGGUGAAACCGCGAAUGGCUCAUUAAAUCAGUUAUGGUUCAUUAGAUCGUGGACACAUUUACUUGGAUAACUGUGGUAAUUCUAGAGCUAAUACAUGCAAACAGAAUUCCUCUCAGAGAUGGGAGGAAUGCUUUUAUUAGAUCAAAACCAAUCGGUGGCGGACGGCUCGUCCGUUCGUCCAUCGUUUGUUUUGGUGACUCUGAAUAACUUUGUGCUGAUCGCAUGGUCAUCUAGCACCGGCGACGCAUCUUUCAAAUGUCUGCCUUAUCAACUGUCGAUGGUAGGUUCUGCGCCUACCAUGGUUGUAACGGGUAACGGGGAAUCAGGGUUCGAUUCCGGAGAGGGAGCCUGAGAAACAGCUACCACAUCCAAGGAAGGCAGCAGGCGCGCAAAUUACCCACUCCCGGCACGGGGAGGUAGUGACGAAAAAUAACGAUACGGGACUCAUCCGAGGCCCCGUAAUCGGAAUGAGUACACUUUAAAUCCUUUAACGAGGACCAAUUGGAGGGCAAGUCUGGUGCCAGCAGCCGCGGUAAUUCCAGCUCCAAUAGCGUAUAUUAAAGAUGUU